Callithrix jacchus (white-tufted-ear marmoset) is the source of this 1770-nucleotide non-coding RNA. Lineage: Eukaryota; Metazoa; Chordata; Mammalia; Primates; Cebidae. The record is from RefSeq and is a predicted model, not a curated record.
AUGAGUAAAAGUUUGCUGACGGCAGUUUCACAAGGGGGAAAAGUGGAUUCCAGCUACAGAGAAAUAGUAAGAGCCAAAGCUGAGAGGCAGAAAACGUACAGCAGCUACACAGAAGAGAUUGGGGGAGAGGCUAAUGAUGACAAGAAGCCAACCACUAGAUUCUAACUAGAGGGAGAAACAGAACUUUGCUUUGUGGUGGAGGCAUCCUAGUCAGUUCAGGUGGAGUUGUUGACUGGCAUGGCAGGGAUCUCUGGUACAGAGCUGACCUGAAACAAGAAAUUCACUUUUGAUGCUGGUGCGAAGAUGGCUGUUUUCACUUGGCAUGGCUGUUCUGUGCAACUGAGCGACCGCACUGAGGUGGCUUAUCUCUCCAAGGACACUCUUUUGUUGCUUUACCUCAACAGUCACACAGCUUUGGAACAGAUGCAGAGGCAAGUGGAAAAGGAAGAAGAGGGAGGCACUUGAGUGAUGGUAGUGGGCCCCACUGAUGUGGGCAAAUCUACAGUAUGUCACCUUCUGCUCAACUAUGCAGUGUGUUUGGGCCACUGUCCCACUUAUGUGGAGCUGGAUGUGGGCCAGGGUUCUGUGUCCAUCUCUGGUACCAUGGGGGCCCUCUACACUGAUCAGCCUAAAGAUGUAGAACGUUUCUCUAUCCAGGCCCCUCUGGUGUAUCAUUUUGGUUCCACCACUCCUGUCACCAACAUCAAGCUUUAUAAUCAGAUUACAUCUUGUUUAGCAGAUGUGUUCAAACAAAGAUGUGGGGUGAAUCAAAGGGUAUCUGUGAGUGGCUGUGUCAUUAAGACCUGUGGCGGGGUCAAGGGCUCUGGUUACCAGGCUCUGGUGCAUGCAGCCUCAGCAUUUGAGGUGAAUGUUGUUGUGGUUCUGGAUCAAGAAUGACUGUACAAUGAACUGAAACGGGACUUCCCCCACUUUGUACGCACUGUGCUGUGUAAAUCUGGGGGUGUGGUGGAGUGCUCCAAGGACUUCUGGCGGGAGUGUAGGGAUGAGCUUCUUAUCUGUGAGUAGUUUUAUGGAUUCCAAGGCUGUUUCUAUCAUGCCUUCAAUGUCACAUUUUCAGAUGUGAGAAUCCACAAAGUUAGGGCACUGACCAUCCCAAAUUCCUAUUUACCUUUGGGCAUGUCUUAGGAGGACAAUCAUCUCAAGCUAGUACCUAUCACUCCUGGCAGAGAUAUGGUGCACCAUCUACUGAGUGUCAGCACUGCCGAGGGGAAGAGGAGGACCUGUUCAAGACAAGUGUAGCUGGCUUCAUUGUGGUGACCAGUGUGGACCCGGAGCAUCAGGUGUUUACUAUUCUGUCCCCAGCCCCUGGCCCACUGCCUAAGAACUUCCUUCUCAUCCUGGAUAUCCAGUUCAUGGAUCUGAAGUAGAGAUCAGCAGGAUGCCUUGCUGCCCUGGACAUAGAGAUUUUCUGGCUCUCCUAGAGGCAGCCAGGCUGAGAUAAGAGACUGUUGGGGCCACCUGACCAGUAAACUGUGGACUAGUAGAAAGAAUAUAUUCUGCCUCUAAAAACAGGUUGUGGCAACCUGACUCUUCUAAUCUUGAACCAAAAGGAAAACCAUGAGACUGGUUUCUUAGAGCACCUAAGAUGCUACUUUGAAUUCUUCAAGACCCUGAAGAAUUGCAUUUCUUUCACUAUGUUACUAUGUGGUUUUUAAACAUCACUGCUUUAUAUUCCAUAUGUGCUACUUACUCAUUCAUCUAGGAUGAAAGUGUGAAUUAAAGGGACUCUUUUCAAUAAAGUUCAAACUU